GGACUUUUCAUUUUAAACAGUAGAGACCCUGCAGCUGAUGCAAAAUGCUCCCGUUCAAGUUUAACACCCUUUCCUGGGGACCAGACACAGAGCACCCCAGCUACAAAGUGCCUCUGUGGAUAUCAUAGAGACAGCCGGAGGGGAAAAGUCUGACUGUCCUUCUGCAGCUAGCAGUUUCUGCACUCUACAGCAUUUGGCUUUCCACUCAGCUAUUUCAGCUUUUUGAGGAUUUCAGAAAAAGAUGGAGUCUUAUCCAAACAUACUCAGACAUUUUUAGACCAUCUAUUUUAGCUACUUCUUUCCCUGGCAAUAACCUCAGAAAAACUCCUGUUGGAAGCACUACUGAUGCUAACAGUACGUCCACUAAAAUAUCUUUGGUGAAAUGGUGUACAUUAGGGAUGAGUCAAAAUGUUCAACCGCACAAGGUGAUGAGUGCUUCUGUUUAGCCACCUGGGAUCCAAGAAUACCUGGUCAAGUAUUUUGUGAGCUUCUGCCUGCUUAAACUGGCCGACAUGGGGAAGAAAACCACCAGAGAUUCAAA
This 541-nucleotide long non-coding RNA is filed under the name Anser brachyrhynchus (Pink-footed goose). Its description in RNAcentral is "lncRNA (ENSABRG00000015130.1)". The record is from RNAcentral. Lineage: Eukaryota; Metazoa; Chordata; Aves; Anseriformes; Anatidae.